This is a non-coding RNA of Puma concolor (puma), 518 nucleotides long. The record is from RefSeq and is a predicted model, not a curated record. NCBI's taxonomy places the organism in Eukaryota, Metazoa, Chordata, Mammalia, Carnivora, Felidae.
GGCAGCAAUGAAGAGUAAAGAGCAGUGAGAACAAGGCUGAGAAGAGACCGGGUUAGAAGUGGCCAGGAAGAAAGUACGCCAUAGAGAGCAGGACAUGCGGAGGAAAUGGCACAGAAGAUUCAGCAGCCUCCCCGUCAAUCCAGCUCUUGAAGGUACUAGAUACUCCUGCAUGGGUGGGGAGAAGAAGGACACUCCAAGAGCUUCCUGCAGCAUUUCAGAACCUCCUCAGGAAGCACUUCUCCAAGUGUGGCCUUCUCAAAUCACUGAGACUACUUCCCUUGGGUUCUCAGACUUCACUUCGAAAUCACUGCAUUAAUCCAUUGGUUUACAGAACAAGUGCAGGCACUGAGGAGGCCUUGGAGUUGCUGACAAAGAGUUAACAAAGAGCACAACAGGUAAAAGUUUGCCCCAAGGAGUAUUAAUUCCCCCACACUUCCAAGAACUACAGUGCAUCUGCCCAGAAGGCUACACCAGCUUCUCACCCCACAGACAGACAAGGGAGGUCCCAUGAGGAACCU